This 70-nucleotide ribosomal RNA is filed under the name Bacillus sp. UNCCL81. RNAcentral describes it as "16S rRNA. Bacterial SSU". Lineage: Bacteria; Bacillati; Bacillota; Bacilli; Caryophanales; Bacillaceae. The record is from RNAcentral.
CUGGCUCAGGACGAACGCUGGCGGCGUGCCUAAUACAUGCAAGUCGAGCGGACUAAUGGGAGCUUGCUCC